This 556-nucleotide long non-coding RNA is filed under the name Ananas comosus (pineapple). RNAcentral describes it as "long non-coding RNA (ACOM_LNC020326)". Lineage: Eukaryota; Viridiplantae; Streptophyta; Magnoliopsida; Poales; Bromeliaceae. The record is from RNAcentral.
UUCUAAUAAAAAUAAGAAAAAACUUCAAACACCCUCCUGUGGUUUCGUACUUUCUCACUUUAGUACCCUGUGGUUUAAAGUGUAUCAAGUUGGUAUCUUGUGAUUUCGCACUUUCUCACUUUAGUACCUGCGGUUUAGAGUAUAUCAAGUUAGUACUCUAUGAUUUUAUUUUUAUAUCAAGUUAGUAUUCUGUGGUUUUAUUUUUCUUUUUUUAUUAUCUAUUUCGGGGUAUUUUUUUGUUAAAUCAGUGACAAAGUUAACACCAAAGGGUACUAAAAUGAAUAUUCGAUAAAUCUAGUUAGGGCAUCUGAAGUUUUUUGUAUAUAAUUUGACAAAAUAUUAAACUACAGGAUACUAAAGUCGGAAAGUGCGAAACCACAGGGUGCUAACUUGAUACACUUUAAACGAUAGGGUACUAAAAUGAGAAAGUACGAAACCACAUGGUACUAAUCUGAUAUACUUUAAAUCACAGAGUACUAAAGUGAAAAAGUGUGAAGCCACAUAGAGGGGUAUUUGAAGUUUUUCCUAAAAAUAAUUUUGUCCUUAAUUUUUUCUC